RNAcentral lists this ribosomal RNA (253 nucleotides) under uncultured bacterium. RNAcentral describes it as "partial 16S ribosomal RNA". It matches the Rfam family "Bacterial small subunit ribosomal RNA", at positions 524 to 776 of the family's 1533-position model. The record is from RNAcentral.
UACGUAGGGUGCGAGCGUUGUCCGGAAUUAUUGGGCGUAAAGGGCUCGUAGGCGGUUUGUCGCGUCGGGAGUGAAAACCAGGUGCUUAACACCUGGCUUGCUUUCGAUACGGGCAGACUAGAGGUAUGCAGGGGAGAACGGAAUUCCUGGUGUAGCGGUGAAAUGCGUAGAUAUCGGGAGGAACACCGGUGGCGAAGGCGGCCCCCUGGUUGGAUACUGACGCUGAGACGCGAAAGCGUGGGGAGCAAACAGG